This 422-nucleotide ribosomal RNA is filed under the name uncultured Actinomycetes bacterium. RNAcentral describes it as "bacterial SSU rRNA". It matches the Rfam family "Bacterial small subunit ribosomal RNA", at positions 233 to 671 of the family's 1533-position model. The record is from RNAcentral. Lineage: Bacteria; Bacillati; Actinomycetota; Actinomycetes.
GCGGCCUAUCAGCUUGUUGGUGAGGUAAUGGCCYACCAAGGCAACGACGGGUAGCUGGUCUGAGAGGAUGAUCAGCCACACUGGGACUGAGACACGGCCCAGACUCCUACGGGAGGCAGCAGUGGGGAAUCUUGCGCAAUGGGCGAAAGCCUGACGCAGCAACGCCGCGUGCGGGAUGAAGGCCUUCGGGUUGUAAACCGCUUUCAGCAGGAACGAAAAUGACGGUACCUGCAGAAGAAGGAGCGGCCAACUACGUGCCAGCAGCCGCGGUGACACGUAGGCUCCUAGCGUUGUCCGGAUUUAUUGGGCGUAAAGAGCUGGUAGGCGGUUUAGUAAGUCGGGUGUUAAAACUCUGGGCUCAACCCGGAGACGCCAUYCGAUACUACUAUGACUUGAGUUCAGGAGGGGAGACUGGAAUUCCU